AGGAUGAACGCUGGCGGUAUGCUUUACACAUGCAAGUCGUACGAGAGUUUUUAACUCAAGUGGCGGACGGGUGAGUAACACGUAAGAAUUUGCCUUUAGGAGGGGGAUAACAACUGGAAACGGUUGCUAAUACCCCAUAUGCUUUCGAGUAAAAUGGAUUUUUCCGCCUAAAGAGAAGCUUGCGGCUGAUUAGCUUGUUGGUGAGGUAAUGGCUUACCAAGGCGACGAUCAGUAUCUGGUUUGAGAGGACGAUCAGACACACUGGAACUGAGACACGGUCCAGACUCCUACGGGAGGCAGCAGUGGGGAAUUUUCCGCAAUGGGCGAAAGCCUGACGGAGCAAUACCGCGUGAGGGAUGACGGCCUAUGGGUUGUAAACCUCUUUUUUCAGGGAGGAAUCAAUGACGUGUACCUGAAGAAUAAGCAUCGGCUAACUCCGUGCCAGCAGCCGC
This 452-nucleotide ribosomal RNA is filed under the name uncultured bacterium. RNAcentral describes it as "SSU rRNA". It matches the Rfam family "Bacterial small subunit ribosomal RNA", at positions 26 to 518 of the family's 1533-position model. The record is from RNAcentral.